AAAAAAAUACCGGCACUCAAGGAGUUUCCAAACAUAAAUCUUCUUUUAUUCCAAAAGCGACAUCGAAUAAAAGAAGAUUUAUGUUUGGAAACUCCUUGAGUGCUGGUAU
Molecule: non-coding RNA, 109 nt
Organism: Pelobates cultripes (western spadefoot toad)
Lineage: Eukaryota; Metazoa; Chordata; Amphibia; Anura; Pelobatidae
Source: the annotation of a GenBank genome assembly